Small nuclear RNA from Nycticebus coucang (slow loris), 108 nucleotides. NCBI's taxonomy places the organism in Eukaryota, Metazoa, Chordata, Mammalia, Primates, Lorisidae. The record is from RefSeq and is a predicted model, not a curated record.
GUGCUAAUUUUGGCAGCACAUAUACUGGAGUUGGAAAGAUACAGGAGAAAAUUAGCAUGGCUCCUGCAUAAGGAUGACUUGCAAAUUCAUGAAGCAUUCCAUAUUUUG